This is a non-coding RNA of Paramuricea clavata, 682 nucleotides long. The record is from the annotation of a GenBank genome assembly. Lineage: Eukaryota; Metazoa; Cnidaria; Anthozoa; Malacalcyonacea; Plexauridae.
UGAAAAGUCAAACGGCAGACAAAUACAAGAAAAGCAAAAAAUAUUUUAAUUAAAGUUACAUUUAAGGAGAGUAUACAGUCUCACCGCGAGUGGAGUUUAAUUCGGAAGAUAAUCAGAUUAUGUAACUGAAAUAUGUUGCAACAGCAAAGUAUCUGCGUUUUUCUGAUGGGAUUAUUUGUAUUUCUGCUAACCCACAGGCCGAGUCUGGUAGAAUGUCGCAAAAUACCGUCUAUGGGCUCUUUACAAUUUUUUGCUAUCGGUGAUUGGGGAGGACAAAUUAUUUCGCCAUAUUACACUAAGGUCGAAAAGGCAGUGGCAGAAGAAUUGGGAAACUUGGCUGAACAUCUCAAACCUGAAUUUAUUCUCGCACUUGGUAUGGUAAAUAUUGUAAUUUAUUGUCAAGAUUGUUAAUAAUGUACGGAAAGAAUGAACUUCUGUUUUAAAAGUAAUACUAAAAAAAUACGGGUUUGCCUCCAUAUAUUAUUGCAACAAAUAUAUAAUGUAGAAUUGUUUGUUUCAACUGAAGUACUAAACGCUGAUCAGGAACGUGGCUUCGUCCUCGUAAUUUUGAUAUUAAAAUCCUCGCACUAGGCAAACGAUUGCCGUCGACAUUUCCAUGUUCGGCGGCAAUUGUUUUGUCUUUAGGCAAUUGUUUUGUCUUUAAAAGACAAAUUGAAGAUGC